RNAcentral lists this ribosomal RNA (467 nucleotides) under uncultured bacterium. RNAcentral describes it as "partial 16S ribosomal RNA". It matches the Rfam family "Bacterial small subunit ribosomal RNA", at positions 28 to 507 of the family's 1533-position model. The record is from RNAcentral.
GACGAACGCUGGCGGCGUGCUUAACACAUGCAGUCGAACGGAAAGGCCCUGCUUUUGUGGGGUGCUCGAGUGGCGAACGGGUGAGUAACACGGGAGUAACCUGCCCCUGACUUUGGGAUAACUUCAGGAAACUGGGGCUAAUACCGGAUAGGAGCUCCUGCUGCAUGGUGGGGGUUGGAAAGUUUCGGCGGUUGGGGAUGGACUCGCGGCUUAUCAGCUUGUUGGUGGGGUAGUGGCUUACCAAGGCUUUGACGGGUAGCCGGCCUGAGAGGGUGACCGGCCACAUUGGGACUGAGAUACGGCCCAGACUCCUACGGGAGGCAGCAGUGGGGAAUAUUGCACAAUGGGCGGAAGCCUGAUGCAGCAACGCCGCGUGCGGGAUGACGGCCUUCGGGUUGUAAACCGCUUUCGCCUGUGACGAAGCGUGAGUGACGGUAAUGGGUAAAGAAGCACCGGCUAACUACGUG